Molecule: transfer RNA, 65 nt
Filed under: Siratus beauii
Lineage: Eukaryota; Metazoa; Mollusca; Gastropoda; Neogastropoda; Muricidae
Description: transfer RNA-Val
Source: RNAcentral
AAGACAUAGUAUAAACACAAUAUAUCUCAUUUACACUGAGAAGAUACUUAAAAUUGAGUUGUUUU